GUCCGAAAACSGAUUGAAGCCCAGCUUGCUGGGCGGAUUAGUGGCGAACGGGUGAGUAAUACGUGAGUAACCUGCCUUUAACUCUGGGAUAAGCCUUGGAAACGGGGUCUAAUACCGGAUACGACCAACCCUCGCAUGAGGUGUUGGUGGAAAGGGAUUUUGUACUGGUUUUAGAUGGGCUCACGGCCUAUCAGCUUGUUGGUGAGGUAACGGCUCACCAAGGCGACGACGGGUAGCCGGCCUGAGAGGGUGACCGGCCACACUGGGACUGAGACACGGCCCAGACUCCUACGGGAGGCAGCAGUGGGGAAUAUUGCACAAUGGGCGCAAGCCUGAUGCAGCGACGCCGCGUGAGGGAUGACGGCCUUCGGGUUGUAAACCUCUUUCAGCAGGGGAGAAGCGAAAGUGACGGUACCUGCAGAAGAAGCGCCGGCUAACUACGUGCCAGCAGCCGCGGUAAUACGUAGGGCGCGAGCGUUGUCCGGAAUUAUUGGGCGUAAAGAGCUUGUAGGCGGUUUGUCGCGUCUGCUGUGAAAGCCCGGGGCUUAACCCCGGGUUUGCAGUGGGUACGGGCAGACUAGAGUGCAGUAGGGGAGACUGGAAUUCCUGGUGUAGCGGUGAAAUGCGCAGAUAUCAGGAGGAACACCAAUGGCGAAGGCAGGUCUCUGGGCUGUAACUGACGCUGAGAAGCGAAAGCAUGGGGAGCGAACAGGAUUAGAUACCCUGGUAGUCCAUGCCGUAACGUUGGGCACUAGGUGUGGGGAACAUUCCACGUUUUCCGCGCCGUAGCUAACGCAUUAAGUGCCCGSCUGGGGGAGUACGGCGCAAGGCUAAACUCAAAGAAAUUGRCGGGGGGCCSCACAAGCGCGAGCAWKGCGGAUWAUUCGAUGCACGCGGAGAACCUACCAGCCUUGGACAUAUACCUAGACCGCCCUUCAAAGAAUGAGGG
This 949-nucleotide ribosomal RNA is filed under the name Rothia sp. (in: high G+C Gram-positive bacteria). RNAcentral describes it as "bacterial SSU rRNA". It matches the Rfam family "Bacterial small subunit ribosomal RNA", at positions 61 to 1015 of the family's 1533-position model. Lineage: Bacteria; Bacillati; Actinomycetota; Actinomycetes; Micrococcales; Micrococcaceae. The record is from RNAcentral.